RNAcentral lists this ribosomal RNA (253 nucleotides) under uncultured bacterium. RNAcentral's name for it is "partial 16S ribosomal RNA". It matches the Rfam family "Bacterial small subunit ribosomal RNA", at positions 524 to 776 of the family's 1533-position model. The record is from RNAcentral.
UACGUAGGGGGCAAGCGUUGUCCGGAAUCAUUGGGCGUAAAGAGCGUGUAGGCGGUUCGGUAAGUCGGCUGUGAAAGUCCAGGGCUCAACCCUGGGAUGCCGGUCGAUACUGCCGGACUAGAGUUCGGAAGAGGCGAGUGGAAUUCCCGGUGUAGCGGUGAAAUGCGCAGAUAUCGGCAGGAACACCUAUGGCGAAGGCAGCUCGCUGGGACGUUACUGACGCUGAGGCGCGAAAGCGUGGGGAGCAAACAGG